This 240-nucleotide unclassified non-coding RNA is filed under the name soil metagenome. RNAcentral's name for it is "partial contains 5.8S ribosomal RNA, internal transcribed spacer 2, and large subunit ribosomal RNA". The record is from RNAcentral.
AACAUCGCGCACCUGCGGGAACCUGCGGAGGGAUCAUUACAGAGUGUUCCACCCCCCCGUAAAAAGGGGGGGGUUUAACCUCCCGUCCUUUGCUGGGCCCCCCCGUUUUGUGGAGGGUCUUUUAAAUCUUUCUGCUUCGGCGGGAUUAACCCGCCGGAACAACCUCAAAAAAAUUCUUGGUCAAAACCGUUUCAGUCCGAGAAACUUUUAGUGGGAUAAAAAAACUUUCAACAACGGAUC